GGGUCGUUAGCUCAGUUGGCAGAGCACCUGACUCUUAAUCAGGGGGUCACAGGUUCAAGGCCUGUACGACCCACCA
Molecule: transfer RNA, 76 nt
Filed under: Actinomycetota bacterium
Lineage: Bacteria; Bacillati; Actinomycetota
Description: tRNA-Lys
Rfam family: tRNA
About the family: Transfer RNA (tRNA) molecules are approximately 80 nucleotides in length.
Source: RNAcentral